CCUACGGGAGGCUGCAGUGAGGAAUAUUGGUCAAUGGACGAGAGUCUGAACCAGCCAAGUAGCGUGAAGGAUGACUGCCCUAUGGGUUGUAAACUUCUUUUAUAUGGGAAUAAAACGUUCCACGUGUGGGAUUUUGUAUGUACCAUAUGAAUAAGGAUCGGCUAACUCCGUGCCAGCAGCCGCGGUAAUACGGAGGAUCCGAGCGUUAUCCGGAUUUAUUGGGUUUAAAGGGUGCGUAGGUGGAUUGUUAAGUCAGUUGUGAAAGUUUGCGGCUCAACCGUAAAAUUGCAGUUGAAACUGGCAGUCUUGAGUACAGUAGAGGUGGGCGGAAUUCGUGGUGUAGCGGUGAAAUGCUUAGAUAUCACGAAGAACUCCGAUUGCGAAGGCAGUUCACUAGACUGCAACUGACACUGAGGCUCGAAAGUGUGGGUAUCAAACAGGAUUAGAUACCCUUGUAGUC
RNAcentral lists this ribosomal RNA (460 nucleotides) under uncultured bacterium. RNAcentral describes it as "partial 16S ribosomal RNA". It matches the Rfam family "Bacterial small subunit ribosomal RNA", at positions 338 to 795 of the family's 1533-position model. The record is from RNAcentral.